Molecule: long non-coding RNA, 392 nt
Filed under: Mytilus galloprovincialis (Mediterranean mussel)
Lineage: Eukaryota; Metazoa; Mollusca; Bivalvia; Mytilida; Mytilidae
Source: RNAcentral
UGUGGCGUGUAUUAAAUAUUUAACUAAAUUAGACAAUUCCUUUACAUUCUUUGUUGACAAUACCUAAACUAAUUUACAAACAGAUGUGUUUGUAUACUAAUACCUUUUUUAUAAACAAUUUUCUUAUAUUGUUAUACUUUUGACAUCAUAAAAUAACAUGAAAUUCAUCCUCAAUAUCACCAGGGUUACAUAAAAUACAUGAUCUUUCAUUUCUUGCUCUUUUUGUGAAUCUACAAUAUUCAGUUUUAGCUUGUGUGAACAAAGUCUAUACUUAGUUCAAAAUCUAAUACAGUGUGGAUAUACGUUUUUUUAUUUUUGUCAAGUAAACUGUAAUUAAAAAUUAUCAACCGGAAUCAACCAUUGCAGUAGCAGUUCAUUUCUAAAUUUCUAAG